This is a long non-coding RNA of Aethina tumida (small hive beetle), 719 nucleotides long. RefSeq lists it as uncharacterized. The record is from RefSeq and is a predicted model, not a curated record. The transcript is spliced from 5 exons. Lineage: Eukaryota; Metazoa; Arthropoda; Insecta; Coleoptera; Nitidulidae.
ACUUGAUUGAGUAUUUAUAAAAACAAAAAUCUAGGCAAAUUUGUUUAUAAAUUUUUAUGUUUUUGAAUAUUUAAAAAUUGAAUUGGACUGCACUGUAAAAUGUGGAAAUGGCUUAAAAGUUUUCAAGGACCUAACUGGAAGUUUUGUGAAAGAAGUAAUGGCGACAUUCUAGUAUUAAUUUUUUUGUGAGUCGUGAGCUGUGAAACAAAGAAGACUUCCAGAAUGUCAUAAUUUAGCCAGGACAAAUAAGUGACCAAAUUGGGAUACUGAACUACAGUAAUUGUGCUAACUACGAAUUAAAUUGGUCAAAAAUACAUAUGAAACACACUGUUAACUUUACAAAAUGUGUUAAAAUGAUAUCUCAAGAUGGCAAUGUCUUAAAAAUUUUCAAGAAACCAACUGAAAAUUUUGUGAAGGAUUAUGUAAACUACAAAUCAAGUAACUAAGGUAUCAUGACCACCUGUUCCGAAAAAUGAGGAUUGUUUAUGACAUGAUUUUCUGCACUCAUUAUCACAAGAUUUAAUUUACGAAAUCAUCCGAAGGAAGCAACAGAAUAAUAUCAGAUAUUCGACAAUUCUGCAACACAACAUACAUUUACAAUUAUAUUGUGGGUAAAAUAAUUCACAUAUCCAAUACGUUACUUAAUGUAGGUAAUAUUUUAAGUAACAUAGCAAAUAUUUUAUAUUUAAUUGCUUGAUUGUCAAUAUUAAGGUUUAUAA